CCUAGUGUGCGAGUUGUAAAUUGCAGGUUGGAGUCUCGGGUUAGACGUGUGUGCAAGUCCCUUGGAACAGGGUGCCACUGAGGGUGAGAGCCCCGUAUCGUGCAUGUCGACACCUGUGAGGCCCUUCUGACGAGUCGAGUUGUUUGGGAAUGCAGCUCUAAGUGGGUGGUAAAUUCCAUCUAAGGCUAAAUAUUGGCGAGAGACCGAUAGCGAACAAGUACUGUGAAGGAAAGAUGAAAAGCACUUUGAAAAGAGAGUGAAACAGCACGUGAAAUUGUUGAAAGGGAAGGGUAUUGGGCUCGACAUGGGAUUUACGCAUCGUUGCCUCUCGUGGGCGGCGCUCUGGGUUUUUCCUGGGCCAGCAUCGGUUUUCGUUGCAGGAUAAGGACAAUUGGAAUGUGGCUCCUCGGAGUGUUAUAGCCUUUUGUAGAUGCUGCGUAUGGGGACCGAGGGCUGCGGCGGACUCGUUUCGUCUCGGAU
RNAcentral lists this ribosomal RNA (480 nucleotides) under Pichia kluyveri. RNAcentral's name for it is "eukaryotic LSU rRNA". It matches the Rfam family "Eukaryotic large subunit ribosomal RNA", at positions 130 to 624 of the family's 3401-position model. Lineage: Eukaryota; Fungi; Ascomycota; Pichiomycetes; Pichiales; Pichiaceae. The record is from RNAcentral.